GAAAUGCGAUAAUUAAUGUGAAUUGCAGAAUUCAGUGAAUCAUCGAGUCUUUGAACGCACAUUGCGCCCCCUGGUAUUCCGGGGGGCAUGCCUGUCCGAGCGUCAUUGCUGCCCUCAAGCACGGCUUGUGUGUUGGGCUUCCGUCCCUGGCAUCGGGGACGGGCCCAAAAGGCAGUGGCGGCACCAUGUCUGGUCCUCGAGCGUAUGGGGCUUUGUCACCCGCUCCCGUAGGUCCAGCUGGCAGCUAGCCUCGCAACCAAUCUUUUUAACCAGGUUGACCUCGGAUCAGGUAGGGAUACCCGCUGAACUUAAGC
This 314-nucleotide unclassified non-coding RNA is filed under the name plant metagenome. RNAcentral describes it as "partial contains 5.8S ribosomal RNA, internal transcribed spacer 2, and large subunit ribosomal RNA". The stretch from base 1 to 105 matches the Rfam family "5.8S ribosomal RNA", at positions 50 to 154 of the family's 154-position model. The record is from RNAcentral.